Long non-coding RNA from Vigna radiata var. radiata (mung bean), 588 nucleotides. RefSeq lists it as uncharacterized. The transcript is spliced from 2 exons. The record is from RefSeq and is a predicted model, not a curated record. NCBI's taxonomy places the organism in Eukaryota, Viridiplantae, Streptophyta, Magnoliopsida, Fabales, Fabaceae.
GUUAUAUUUCCAGUGGUGUGUUCUGUUAUGUUAUCAUUGCAGCAGCAAAAGUCCCAAUUUCUGCACUCAAACUUGAUGAAUGUGGAUUGGUGUGAGCUCAUUUGUGGUUACAACAUUGUUGUAGACGGCUUGACAUAAUUGGUAGCACUUUAGGAAGAGGAUUGGUGAAGGAAAAGAUCACUUGGAAGGAUGCAAUUCGGCACAGCAGUGCACUCCAGUGGAAAUUGUGUAGACUUUCAACACGGCACAAGAGAAAAACAGCCGCAACAGCAGAUCUUCCAAUCAAGUUCAUUCUGCAACAUAUGCAUUUGGCAGCAAAACCACAAACCCCUGUGCAGCAGGGGAAAAUUGGAUCCAUCCUCCACAUCCAUUGCAGUAAAGCCGAGAGAAAGAAUUGGUGCAGUUGAGUUUUUUAAGCAGCAGCAAGGCACCAAAGCUGAGAACGGAAAGUGAAACCACAAGCUAGGAGACUCCAAAAGUAGCCAGCACAUGAAUUUGAACAAGAACCAGAAUGUGGCAGCAGCUGUUCUACUUUUCUUUGUAAUUGUAGUGUUCAUUUUUGAAUUGUAAUAGGUUUUCUGUGUUAGA